This 446-nucleotide ribosomal RNA is filed under the name uncultured bacterium. Its description in RNAcentral is "partial 16S ribosomal RNA". It matches the Rfam family "Bacterial small subunit ribosomal RNA", at positions 338 to 795 of the family's 1533-position model. The record is from RNAcentral.
CCUACGGGGGGCAGCAGUCGAGAAUUAUUCACAAUGGGGGAAACCCUGAUGGUGCGACGCCGCGUGGGGGAAUGAAGGUCUUCGGAUUGUAAACCCCUGUCAUGUGGGAGCAAAUUAAAAAGAUAGUACCACAAGAGGAAGAGACGGCUAACUCUGUGCCAGCAGCCGCGGUAAUACAGAGGUCUCAAGCGUUGUUCGGAAUCACUGGGCGUAAAGCGUGCGGAGGCUGUUUCGUAAGUCGUGUGUGAAAGGCGCGGGCUCAACCCGCGGACGGCACAUGAUACUGAGGGACUAGAGUAAGGGAGGGGGAACCGGAAUUCUCGGUGUAGCAGUGAAAUGCGUAGAUAUCGAGAGGAACACUCGUGGCGAAGGCGGGUUCCUGGACAUUAACUGACGCUGAGGCACGAAGGCCAGGGGAGCGAAAGGGAUUAGAUACCCUAGUAGUC